GAUGAACGCUGGCGGCGUGCCUAAUACAUGCAAGUCGAGCGAACGGACGUGUUGCUUGCUGCACUGAAGUUACCAGCGGACGGGUGAGUAACACGUGAAUAACCUACCUAUAAGGCUGGGAUAACUGCGAGAGACCGGAGUUACUGCCGGGUAAUACUGUGAACCGGAUGGGUCAAGAAUGAAAGGACGUCUUGCGGUGCCUUCGAGAUGGAUCCGCUGUGCUGUGGCUAGGUGGUGGGGUAACGGUUUACCAAGGCAACGAUGCCUAGCCGACCUGAGAGGGUGAUCCGGCACACGGGAGCUGAGACACGGCCCAGAGACCGAGGGGAGGCAGCAGUAGGGAAUGUUGGGAAAUGGGGGGAAGCAUGAACGAGCAAUGCAGCGUGAGUGAAGAAGGUCUUCGGAUCGUAAAACGCUGUUCGGAGGGAAGAACAGAUGUGCUAAUAACUAUGCAGAUUAUGACGGUACCUAAUAAGGAAGCACCGGCUAACUACGUG
Molecule: ribosomal RNA, 497 nt
Filed under: uncultured bacterium
Lineage: Bacteria
Description: partial 16S ribosomal RNA
Rfam family: Bacterial small subunit ribosomal RNA
Source: RNAcentral